AUGGCACUACGAUUUGACAUAUUACUUGCACAAAAGGCGGGAAGCAACCGUCUUGUUGUUAACCCUGACGAUCUGGAAGUAAUUGAUACAAUGAAGAAUGGAGGACAUUUAGCGGGAGUUGUGGCUACUGAAUUCGAUGAUUGUUAUUUUAUGGCUUGUGAUUUUUCGUUAAUUAGAUUUGAACAUUGUAAUAGGGAGGCAAACAAAGUAGCUCCUAAAAUUGCUAGGUUAGCUAAAUUUUCCGAGACAAGGAAUUGUUUCGAGGAACCUAUGAAUGAUAUUGUAAAUUUUCUUAUAAUGAUGUAA
This 306-nucleotide ribosomal RNA is filed under the name Triticum aestivum (bread wheat). Its description in RNAcentral is "partial small subunit ribosomal RNA". The record is from RNAcentral. Lineage: Eukaryota; Viridiplantae; Streptophyta; Magnoliopsida; Poales; Poaceae.